RNAcentral lists this long non-coding RNA (280 nucleotides) under Medicago truncatula (barrel medic). RNAcentral's name for it is "long non-coding RNA (MTRU_LNC008304)". Lineage: Eukaryota; Viridiplantae; Streptophyta; Magnoliopsida; Fabales; Fabaceae. The record is from RNAcentral.
UAGAGUACUCUCGUCUUAUAGAUGGAUUAUUAUGUAAUGAAUAUAUGGCUCAAAAGUUCAAAUUUGAACUAGUGUCAAGUUCUUUUCAUAUUUUCUUGCAAAUAGGGUAACUGGUGUUUGUCUAUAGAUGUAAGAUUCACUGAUUCGGAACACCAUAGUUUUUUUUUUUUGGUAGAUGAACACCAUAGUUUCUACUUGACACUUAAGUAAACAAUGUUUUAGUAGCAGAAGUAUUUAAUUUUUCUUAACAAAUGAUAUGAAUAGUUACAGUUAAACGGAU